UUUUUAUUACAAUUUUUAUAUUUUAAUAUUUUCUAUUUUUAUAGUUUCUAGCUCCUCUAUAUUUGUUAUGCCAUCUCCUUUAUACGUAUCCCUUGCUAAGAUCCUAUGUAUACAACCAUCAUCUCUUUUACAAUGGUAAUAAAUAAAUUUGUAUGGUGUAUUUAAACAUAAAAAUGUCUUCUUACUCCAAAAUCUAUUAUGUUUAAUUGCGUGUCAUUAACAAUUCAAUAAAAAAAAGUUGUAAAAUUCUGGAGCAAAUUGCGAUAAUCUAUUUUUUAUUUUUUAAAACAAUUUAGAUGAAGUAUGUUGAUUUCUUAAUUCAUAAAUAAUUUCCAUUUAUACAGCAAUAGUGAUUGAACUUUGAUAAUUUUAAAAUGAAUAAUAUUCCAGUAAAACAUGUGUGCAGAUUACUAUGAAGGAAUAAAGGAAUAAGCAUCUACCAUUUGAGCGCAACUAUUUUUUUUCUCUUUCUUUGCUGAUUACUAGUGACCGUAAGCGCAACUACUAUAAAGGGAGUUUCAGCUUUCCAUAAAAAAUAAAAAAAAUAAAAAAAUAAAAAUAAAAAUAAAAAAAAGGAGAAAAACAGAGAGUGGGCGAAGGGCUGAGAGCUUCAAUCUCAAGAUGUUUCUUGUUUCUCUUUGAUUUUAAGUGUAACCUGCAAUUGAAUUUUAAGUGUAACCUGCAAUGAUUUUAAGGGUAACCUGCAAUUGAAUUUGGUGUUUUUGAGCUAGCCAUAUUUGUCCAUUGAAUUUGGUAGUUUGAGCUAGCCAUUAUUGUCCAUUGAAUUUGAUAUUUUUUUCUAUGUAUUUUUGUUUUUUUUCUCUAAUUUUCUGGAUAUACUUCUUCACACUUUUUCGCUGUUUUGGUUGAAUAUUUAUAUGGCUUCCCUCAUUUACUAUUAAAACAUGAAUUUUAUAAAUAAUUAUCCUUACACCUACGUCUUAAUAAAUAUGGUUUUUUUGAAAUAUUAAUAUUUAAAUUAUUCUAACUCCUUUAAUUUUCUAUUUUCAAAUAAAAGCAAAGAGCACGAUAUCUUCAUAAAUUUUUACUUUUUUAAUUAUGACUUAUUCAUAAUAAAUUUUACUAAUUUGACAUGAGAGAUUUCAAAUAAUUCAUUAAAUAUAUAGCCAUUUAAAAUGAGGAACUUAAAUAUCUUCCGACUAUCUAUACUAAUUAUUUACGUUUUAAUCAUUUUGUUUUGUCUUAUAAAUUUUUAAUUUGAUUUUCAUAAUCAAAUUCACGUAAAAAUGCAUUAGGGUGAGGUUUGUGUAAGAUUUCGUACUCCAACGGUAGAAGUGAGGCGCACUUCUAAAAUUUGCUUAGAGAUGUUAUUAUGGUGUCCGAAUACCUUACGAUGGCGUGAAAAUCUAUUUUCUUCUCUAGUUAUUGAAGUUCUAAAAGUCGUAUAAAAUUUGAAUGGAUCAAUAAAUACUUGAAAUCUUGAAAAUAGACGGUCCAAAAAACUUCUCACAUCAUACAUUAUUUUUUGGACUUGGAAUUCCUAUUUUUAUUAAUGUCCAUAGAUCUUGAGGUCAAGGGUUCUCCAACACCUAAACACUUUAAGGUACAUCUUACUUCAAUGUAAGGUUGCAACAUUAUAUACUUUUUUUUUCAAUGCAAUGAACAACAAAAGAAAAUAUAAAAUUUAAAAUACCAAAGUAGCAAAUAUAUGUAGGUAGCACACAAUGAAUAGCAGAGUUCAUGAGAUUUCAAAUUGAUCUUUCUUAAAAAAAAUUAAUGAAUAUAAAUUUACUUAAACAUGAAUUUCAAGCUAAUGUCUAAAUAGUUAAGCAAAAGCAACAGAAAUACAAAUCAAUUAUCUAAGAAAAAACAAUUAUUGAUUUGUCUUAUCUGUUUAUCUUAGCUAACUCUAAAUUUGCUUUGAAAAAUAGAUGUCAAAAAAUUUAAAAAACCCAUCCAAAAAGAAAAAUAGACAACAUAAUCACAGAAAAACAUUAUACAGCAUAAUCAAAGAAUCAAUAAAAAAAAUUAUUUUAAGUGAUAUACCUCUUCAUUCACUUCCAAUGCCACAACAUAUUUUCUUUCCAGUAUACUUUACUAACCAAAUCUAUCCUAACCCUCUCGGUUUUGAAUUUGGUCUCAC
Molecule: long non-coding RNA, 2104 nt
Filed under: Amborella trichopoda
Lineage: Eukaryota; Viridiplantae; Streptophyta; Magnoliopsida; Amborellales; Amborellaceae
Description: long non-coding RNA (ATRI_LNC001640)
Source: RNAcentral